Molecule: ribosomal RNA, 497 nt
Filed under: uncultured bacterium
Lineage: Bacteria
Description: partial 16S ribosomal RNA
Rfam family: Bacterial small subunit ribosomal RNA
Source: RNAcentral
GAUGAACGCUGGCGGCGUGCCUAAUACAUGCCAGUCGAGCGAACAGACGAGGAGCUUGCUCCUCUGACGUUAGCGGCGGACGGGUGAGUAACACGUGGAUAACCUACCUAUAAGACUGGGAUAACUUCGGGAAACCGGAGCUAAUACCGGAUAAUAUAUUGAACCGCAUGGUUCAAUAGUGAAAGACGGUUUUGCUGUCACUUAUAGAUGGAUCCGCGCCGCAUUAGCUAGUUGGUAAGGUAACGGCUUACCAAGGCAACGAUGCGUAGCCGACCUGAGAGGGUGAUGGGCCACACUGGAACUGAGACACGGUCCAGACUCCUACGGGAGGCAGCAGUAGGGAAUCUUCCGCAAUGGGCGAAAGCCUGACGGAGCAACGCCGCGUGAGUGAUGAAGGUCUUCGGAUCGUAAAACUCUGUUAUUAGGGAAGAACAAAUGUGUAAGUAACUAUGCACGUCUUGACGGUACCUAAUCAGAAAGCCACGGCUAACUACGUG